AUUAAACAAAGGAAGCAGAUGGAUUCAUGACAAAAUUGUGUUUUGGUGAUGGUGAUGUGUUUGUACAUCUUACUUUACUGAACAUCCUUGCUGCUUACAAUUAUCUCUAUCUUUAAUGAACUUGGCCCAGUAGUUUCAGUGGAAAAUGUUAGUAAAAUUUACAAAUUUUAUGAAAAUUGUUAAAAAUUGACUAUAAAGGACAAUAACUCCUUAGGGGGUCAAUUGACCAUUUCAGUCAUGUUGACUUAUUUGUAAAUCUUACUUUGCUGAACAUUAUUGCUGUUGACAGUUUAUCUCUAUCUAUAAUAAUAUUCAAGAUAAUAACCAAAAACAGCAAAAUUUCCUUAAAAUUACCAAUUCAAGUGCAGCAACCCAACAACGGGUUGUCUGAUUCAUCUGAAAAUUUCAGGGCAGACAGAUCUUGACCUGAUAAACAAUUUUAUCCCAUGUCAGAUUGCUCUUAAUGCUUUGGUUUUUGAGUUAUAAGCCAAAAACUGCAUUUUACCCCUAUGUUCUAUUUUUAGCCGUGGCGGCCAUCUUGGUUGGAUGGCCAGGUCACUGGACAAUUUUUUUUUAAAACAAGAUACCCCAAAGAUGAUUGUGGCCAAGUUUGGAUUAAUUUGGCCCAGUAGUUUCGGAGGAGAAGAUUUUUGUAAAAGAUUACUAAGAUUUACGAAAAAUUGUUAAAAAUUGACUAUAAAGGGCAAUAACUCCUAAAGGGGUCAACUGACUAUUUCGGUCAUGUUGACUUAUUUGUAAAUCUUACUUUGCUGAACAUUAUUGCUGUUUACAGUUUAUCUCUAUCUAUAAUAAUAUUCAAGAUAAUAACCAAAAACAGCAAAAUUUCCUUAAAAUUACCAAUUCAGGUG
RNAcentral lists this long non-coding RNA (869 nucleotides) under Mytilus galloprovincialis (Mediterranean mussel). The record is from RNAcentral. Lineage: Eukaryota; Metazoa; Mollusca; Bivalvia; Mytilida; Mytilidae.